Molecule: long non-coding RNA, 2382 nt
Organism: Pan troglodytes (chimpanzee)
Lineage: Eukaryota; Metazoa; Chordata; Mammalia; Primates; Hominidae
Exons: 2
Source: RefSeq, a predicted model, not a curated record
AUCCGGGGGUCUGGAGUGCACCAGGAGGGAGGGGUGUCACGUGACAUGGAGGGUGGUGGGGCCAGAUCCGUGGACCUUGUCAGAUGUUUCCGAGCAGCAGGUGGCCUGAUACAGAUUGAAGGACAGAGGGCUGGUUUGCCGACUACACGUGGCAAGAGUGGAAGCAGGGGGCCAAUGGGGCCAUGGCUGCGCCCAGGAAAAGGGGACGCUGGCGGCCUGGCCCAGGGGCUGUGGUGGGCUGGUGCGUGACGUGUUUUAAAGGCCUAGCUCUGAGGGCACCUUGACCAAUUGUCUGUGUGGCAGGAGGUUGGAGGGGUUGGGAGGUUUCUGCAAGGACUCCCAGCCCUUUGACGUGAGCAUCCCAGUGAUGGGACACUAAAGCAUGAAAGAGCAGGACUGAGCGUGGCUAUGGGGUUGAAGGAGGAUCCAUGGGUUCUGCCUUGUUCCCGUCACUGAGGCACCUGGGGUGUUCUCAGGUGGAGGCCUCUAGGAGGAGCGAGGGGCUGAGGAAGCCCGGGCUGGGGACAUUUUUACAUUAGGAAGCCUUUAGCAAAUAGGUUAUAUUUGAAGAGGUGGGAACAGGUGAGGUGUCCAGGGAGAGAGGAUGGCUGAAGGCAGAGCCCUGGAGACUGCCCUUGUUAGGGAGGCCAGGGAGGGACGAGGAGCCAGCCAGGGGACUUAGAAAGGGCCACCACUGAAAUAAGAGAGAAAUCCAGAGAGCUGGGACAAGCGCCUUCUGGUCCCCAAUACAGCUGUGACGCCAAGUGCCCUCCCUCCAGAGCCGAGACGGUCUCUGGCAUGAUACAUUGUGUUUUCCAGGCGUCACCUGCCAGGACAUCUGGCUGGGAGCUGUGUCCUCAUCCCGGAGUGGUGCUCCAAGCCAGUUAAGCCAGCAGUUCUGGGCUUUCCAUGAAAGUGCUGGAAGUGUGUGUUCUGGCAACGCCGUCACUGCUAAGUCAUGCCUGGGAGAACAAGUCCUGGUACUUCCUCCUCAGGCCUGCAGGAAGGCCACGUGCUGGUCUCACCUCCUGCCAAGCGUAGAUGGCAGCUUACACCUUUCACCCACCAUGAAGAGUGAGAAGCGGCAUUGCCCAUGGUGAAGGCUCCCACUCCGGAUGGCGUGCCAGGGUCCGCAGGGGACCAGACUUGCUCUUCUUUCCAGUUCUGAAAUCCUCGAUUCUCCUGGUUAUUUCCUCCAUGAGCCUGCAAGUAUCUGAGGGCAGGGCCCCGGCCCAGAGGAGGACACAGGGAGGUGGAUCCAGGGGACGGAGAAGCAGGAAAUGGAGCUACCAGUUUUUUGACCCUUGCUGUGUGCAGGACACUGAUGGCCGUUCCCCUGGACUCUAUCCUGGCAGGCUCAGGACAACCAGAGGAUGGGCACAUUGCUCUUCCCCCACUCUGCAGAUGAAGACAUGGAAAGAGGAAAGAGGUGGCUUGGCCAAGCUCACAUAGCCAGCCAGUGGUGGAGUACUGAAAUUCCAUGAGCUAAUUCACAUCAAUCAGCACAGUGCCUGGCGCAAAGAAACCACUCAGAAGUUAUGGCCAUGAAAUGCGCCCAUGAAAUGCUGCUCCGUAAAGAUACAGCUGCUGCUGGAGACGAAGACGCUUCGGAGCCUUCCUUGAAUCGGAGGGAGAGACCAAAGGUGAUCACACCCAGUCCACCCCCAGCAAGGACAUGCCUGCUAAUUUGAGAUUAUUUAAGAAGGUUCAGGGUUAAGAUCGAACCUUGCUUAGCAACUAAUUUAUGAAGACAUUGCCAACUCAUUAUGCCAACAAGUUUAAUGGGAUAAUAGAAAAAAUAACCCAGAGAGCAAAAUGAUCCCCCGCAAAGCACUUAAUGUCUACUUGAACCACAAGUCCCUUAAGUGCUCAUUUCCAUAAAAUUCUUAUCUGUUAAUUCAGAAACUCCUAGAGCUGCAUGGAGUUCUUUGCAAGCCCACGAAGGAGGGCUCUUCUAGCAACACGUGGUUGGACUAUCUCGUAGCAAGCCCACGAAGGAGGGCUCUUCCAGCAACACGUGGUUGGACUAUCUCGUACACCCGGACGUGCCUGCCAUUCAACAGAGUGGCAUGUCUUCAAAUGUCUUCCUCGCUGUCUGAGAAUGGAACCUUCCCGCCUGAGCCAAGCGCGCCAGUGACACUGGACUGUGCCUGGCUCUGGGAGGCCCGUGCACACGGGAUGAUGCGGAGAUGCCUCUGCCCAGCAGCGUGACAGUUUCUCAGCAUCCACACCUUGGUGGCAGCCCUGCUUUUGCUGGUUGUUAAUGAGAUGGUUGGUUUGGCCUGUAAGCGAAUUGUACAGCUAACUAAUGUGUCUGUAGCUUGGAAUUAUUUAUUGCCCGUGAUUGCUCUGCCUGGGUUUUCAAUACAUAAUUCAUAUUUU